Long non-coding RNA from Acanthopagrus latus (yellowfin seabream), 1521 nucleotides. RefSeq lists it as uncharacterized. The transcript has 3 exons. NCBI's taxonomy places the organism in Eukaryota, Metazoa, Chordata, Actinopteri, Spariformes, Sparidae. The record is from RefSeq and is a predicted model, not a curated record.
AGAGGGCUGCAGUUCACCUGCUCAGGUGGUCGUGUGUCUUCAGGGAGUCGACACCAUCAGUCGGCUCUCUGCGUUUCUGUUUGGGUGAAACUCUGAGCUGAGAGUUUGAGAUUUCUUUCUUUGGGCCAGUUUCUACACAUUUAGUUUCCCCCUGAUCACUGACUCCCACCUCACCUUUGGUUUUUGGGUCCAGUGUUUUUGUUGGUCUCUCAUGUUGAUAGAAUCAGCAGGCGGCUGUGGGUUUUAUUAGACACUGAGAGACCAGUUUGCUUUGACCCUGUUGUGAUCUGUGCAGACGCCUGUCCUUCAGGUUCUGUUCUCUGGGGAAACGUAACAAUCACGAAAAGAAUAACUGCAGUGCACUCGCAAAAAAACAGGAAGCUCAAAUGUGUUCUCUAAAAAUUGAAUGAUUGUGGGUUGAGAAUCUGAUUCUGUACUGAAAGUGCUCAAAAGUCCAACUGAUUGUCCUCAUUAUCAGGUCUCUUCUCGUCAGAAUUCUUAAGCUCAAACUCAAAGUACACCAAGACGAUGAAAACAAACAGUCUCAGCUCAUUGUGGACAUGUUGUGGUCCGUCCCCAUUCUUCCCUGCUCUCUACUCGUCUUGCUCUAAUCUGAAUUCAGACGGAGGUUCUCUGCUCUGAUGACGAGUCGUGCAGCACAAGUUUCAACUUCAGAGCUGUCCGGGAGUGACGCUGAUCAAAGGGCCACCAUCUUAUAUCAUAUUUGGCCAGAUUCAUUCAGAAGCGUAUUUACAAAGCAUCCAGAAUACAGAACACCUGGCCUGCUGCAUGUCCCACACCCAGACAGAUGCUGGCAGCAGGUGGUCAUGUUCACAGAACGAACAAAACAAGAUCUGUCUGAUUUUCUAUGCUCGGGAUAUGGCCCCUGUAUAUCAGAGAGAGAGUACAAAGGUGAUGGAUUAUGCCAUUAUCCACAAACAGUUCCACCUGUCCCGUUACAAACAGUAAACGCCUCACGUGAAUGACAAUCCCUGUGGUGUCAGAUUCGAAUUUCAGCUGGAUGAGUCCGUAUGUUGUGCUGGAUGCAGUACAGAACAUGCAGCGAGGUCCGGUGGGAUCAAGAUAAUGGACUGAAUGAAAGAAAAUUGACUUGCACGAAAUCACUCUUCCAAACUCCUCAAGACUUUAUGUUUCAAUCAGCUUUUCUGUGGUGACCUCCGUUUAUACACUCGCAUUAUAUCUCUCCUGCACCAUGGUCUGCAUUUUGCGUUAAUGAUCAUGAUUUAUAUGCAUCGCACACAUCAGAAAAGCAUAAACUAAGCCGUCUGAAUUGCCCUUUUACACACCGUCCUAAUUUCAGCCUAGGCUGAUAAAAAUUUAAAGGGCUAAUCAGGGUUAAACUGCUGCAGGGUUGUGAUCAUGUUCAGGCAGAAGGGAAGAGAUAAGGAUGCUCAAGGACAGUUGUUUUAAAAAGGCACUAUUUGAAGUUAUUGAUUUGGGGUUUUUUUUUCCCUUCCCAGGUGUUGAUGCUCAUUUGAAUGACCUUGGUGUGUUUAAUAU